Molecule: ribosomal RNA, 586 nt
Filed under: uncultured bacterium
Lineage: Bacteria
Description: bacterial SSU rRNA
Rfam family: Bacterial small subunit ribosomal RNA
Source: RNAcentral
CCUACGGGAGGCAGCAGUGGGGAAUCUUGCGCAAUGGGCGAAAGCCUGACGCAGCGACGCCGCGUGCGGGAAGAAGGCCUUCGGGUUGUAAACCGCUUUCAGGAGGGACGAAGCCACUCGGGUGAAUAGCCCAGAGGGUGACGGUACUUCCAGAAGAAGCCCCGGCUAACUACGUGCCAGCAGCCGCGGUAAUACGUAGGGGGCUAGCGUUGUCCGGAUUUAUUGGGCGUAAAGAGCGUGUAGGCGGCCAGAUAGGUCCGCUGUGAAAACUCGAGGCUCAACCUCGAGCUGUCGGUGGAAACCAUCUGGCUAGAGUCCGGAAGAGGAGAGUGGAAUUCCCGGUGUAGCGGUGAAAUGCGCAGAUAUCGGGAAGAACACCUGUGGCGAAGGCGGCUCUCUGGGACGGUACUGACGCUGAGACGCGAAAGCGUGGGGAGCGAACAGGAUUAGAUACCCUGGUAGUCCACGCCGUAAACGAUGGGUGCUAGGUGUGGGGAGUGUCGACUCUCUCCGUGCCGAAGCUAACGCAUUAAGCACCCCGCCUGGGGAGUACGGCCGCAAGGCUAAAACUCAAAGGAAUUGACGG